Molecule: ribosomal RNA, 258 nt
Filed under: uncultured bacterium
Lineage: Bacteria
Description: partial 16S ribosomal RNA
Rfam family: Bacterial small subunit ribosomal RNA
Source: RNAcentral
GACAGAGGGUGCAAACGUUUGUUCGGAAUUACUGGGCGUAAAGCGCGUGUAGGCGGCUAAGUAAGUCGGGCGUGAAAUCCCACGGCUCAACCGUGGAAGUGCACUCGAAACUGCAUAGCUAGAGUCCUGGAGAGGAAGGUGGAAUGCUUGGUGUAGAGGUGAAAUUCGUAGAUAUCAAGCGGAACACCGGUGGCGAAGGCGGCCUUCUGGACAGUGACUGACGCUGAGACGCGAAAGCGUGGGGGAGCAAACAGGGAU